AUGGUAUUGAAGCAUUCACGAAAAAUGGAUUUAAAUCUUGGAAGGAUGGACCUAAAGUUUUUAAUCAGCAUGUUGGCAAGCAUGAUAGUGCUCACAAUAAAGCUAGACAACAUUAUGUUGAUUUCAAAAAUCAAAGACAAAAUCUGCCACAUGUGUCUGAUAGGGGCUCUAAGAAGAAAGAAGAAGAAUACAAAGCUCGUAUCUUCAUUAUAUUGGGCAUUGUCAAAAGAAUUAUACUACAAGCUCUUGCUUUUCGUGGUCAUGAUGGGUUUGCUAGCUCAAUGA
Molecule: ribosomal RNA, 285 nt
Filed under: Triticum aestivum (bread wheat)
Lineage: Eukaryota; Viridiplantae; Streptophyta; Magnoliopsida; Poales; Poaceae
Description: partial small subunit ribosomal RNA
Source: RNAcentral